GAUCCUGGCUCAGGAUGAACGCUGGCGGCGUGCCUAACACAUGCAAGUCGAACGAAGCACCUUUUGAGAUUCUUCGGAUGAUUGAUCGGUGACUGAGUGGCGGACGGGUGAGUAACGCGUGGGUAACCUGCCCUGUACAGGGGGGAUAACAGCUGGAAACGGCUGCUAAUACCGCAUAAGCGCACGAGGAGACAUCUCCUUGUGUGAAAAACUCCGGUGGUACAGGAUGGGCCCGCGU
RNAcentral lists this ribosomal RNA (238 nucleotides) under uncultured bacterium. RNAcentral describes it as "partial 16S ribosomal RNA". It matches the Rfam family "Bacterial small subunit ribosomal RNA", at positions 15 to 236 of the family's 1533-position model. The record is from RNAcentral.